CUAAGGGCGUGGGUGUCGGAGUCUUGCAGGCUGGGGUCCCAGGUGAGAGAUGCCAGCAGGGAGCUCUAGAUGGGGAACUGGGUGAGCCUGGCUCGGUAAGGGCGUGCUCAGAACACCCCAUCCCCGAACACGGUCUUGUGUGAUAAAAUGUCACGCAAGAAGAAUCUGAAACCGCGAGAAGAGGAGGACACGGCCAGACUGCACCGAACCCCGGCACCUCUGUGGGGAAAAGCAGGUCAGGCUGAGCGGGGCCGGCGGGGACACGCGCUCCUGGGCUUCUCCAGAGUCUGCCGGGGCCGGGCCCGGGACCGAGGCUGGGACGCGCUGUGCAGUCCCACCCCUCACACCCCUCGCACGCCUGGAAACACCCUCGGGGUAACACAAGCCGGGGUUGAGUUUCUUGAAGAGAAGCUGGCUGCAUCCUGGAGCCAGGGAAAGAGGAGCACAGGGGCCAAGCGGUCCAGGGCCACGGAGGAGCAGGACCCCUGGGGAAAGGCCCGGGUCUAGGCCGGGGCCAGGGGACCGUGGUGGAGACCUCAAAAAUGGCAGAACACGGAAGCAGGGCGAGAAAAGUAAACGUAGUCCUUGCGGCAGUUUGAAAUACACGCGGGUAAACGCUGGGUGACUCCGCCCGGAUGCAGAGUGGGGGUCUGUGUCUCUCCCCACAGGCUGCAGGGACCGGGCUCUGGGUAACCAGCAGAAGGUAACAGAACGAGGCUGCUUUUCCUCCAGGCUGUUCUGGUGUCCGCGCGUGGCUUGUGCGCUGACUCCUGACUUGGAGCGCCGCGUGGCCAGAGAAAUCUGGGUGCCUCCAGGCCACCAUGGUGAGAGGAGAGGCCACCGCACGAACGGAAGAAGCGAUGGAGACGGUCUUUACGACCUAAGAACAGAAAGAGUUUCUUAUACACAAUCCGAAAAGUAAAAAUUGAUUGAUUGAUUGAUUGAGAUGGAAUCCCACUCUGUCGUCCAGGUUAGAGUGCAAUGGCUUGAUCUCGGCUCAUUGCAACCUCCGCCUCCCGGGUUCAAGCGAUUCUCCUGCCUCAGUCUCCCGAGUAGCUGGGAUUAUAGGCGCCCGCCACCACGACUGGCUAAUUUUUAUAUUUUUAGUAGAGACGCAGUUUCACCGUGUUGACCAGGCUGGUCUUGAACCCCUGACCUCAGGUGAUCCGCCUGCCUCGGUCUCCCAAAGUGCUGGGAUUACAGGCGUGAGCCACCGUGCUGGGCCAAAAAUCAAUUUUAAAACGACCACAUGAAAAAUAAAUCUCCUGUAUCACAGAGCAUGUUCUGAGGAAAAUGAAAGCCACAGAUCCAGAAGAUAUUUGUGACACAUAUGAAAAACAAAAACUCAUAUUCAAAACAUACACAGCAUUGCUAUGAAUCAUUAAGAAAAAUGAUUUCGUCUCCUCUACAGGAGCCUGAGUGAAGGACAAGGACAGAUCAUUAUAAACCAGGGAGCUUGAAGAGCUAGUUAACAAGCACAGAAAAUAUGUUCCCCCACACUGUUAAUCAAGAAAAUUAAAACUGUAAUGAGAUGCCGCAUUGUAUCCAUGGGAUUUCUAAAAGUACAAAGUUCCACAAUACCCGUUGUUGACGGAGCAGGGAAACCGCAGGAGCCUGCAGGAGAUGAGAUUGUAAAUGUGCAAGGACAUUUUGGAGAAGAGUUGACAACAUCUCACUCACGUGUAUCAAGCCAAGUGCCGAAAGAAGAAUUGGUUGUCAUAAAGAAAACAGAAACCCAGAAUGGAUGUAGCUUAUCCCUCCGAUGGAAAGUUACAAAGAAGUUAAAAUGAAUGGGCUGCAUCUCUGUGUAACAAUUUGGAUCAAUAUCAAAGACACAUUUGUUAAAGCAAGGUGUACAAUGAAACCUGCAACAUGAUUUGUCUGUUUAGUAAAACACAGAAAAUCUAACUCCGCCUGGCUUACGAACACACACAUGUGUUAGAAUUUGGGAAAAGGAAAGGGAGGGAGGCCGGCUACACGUGAACUUUUGGAAAAUCUCAGAGGGUCUGGGGCACCAGGUGGAGACCAUGGCAGCCUUCAGGGAUAUGAGGUGAGUCCUUCAACUACAUUUGCAAGGUUUUAUUUCUUAGGAAAAUAUUUAAAGCAAAUAUUUCAAAAAUGACUAAAUCUGAGUGGUAGGGAGUCACUGUUUUAUAGAUUAUUCACUUUUCCCUGGGCUUGGAAUGUUUCGUUUUUUCAAAGGUCAAAUGAGAUGCUGCCUUUCCACCAGAUAAAGAUUUACCUGGUGCCUCUGUUACUGCCCAGCAGCGCCUGAGGACGUGGGGGCUGCUGCCCAACACGGAGGCUGGGCUGGCCUGGUCCGUGGGCUCAGGUUCUCAUCCUCUGCACGUGCAUCUGCCUCCUGUGCGUCUCUGUGCACACGCUUGUAUCUGGAUGCAGAGUCCUGUGCCCAGUGUACAUGCACAGAUGUGCGCAUCUGGGUAGAUGUGCUGGUUCGCUGUGUGAGCAUGCACAGACCCUUGUUCACCGUGUGUGCGCAUCCGUGCAGUGUGGACAUCUGGACAGGACCCCGUGCUCCCUGUCUCUGCCGCUGAGAUGUUUCCUAGCUGUGCACAGAAUUCACUCUCCUACUGGAGGGCUCUGACUGAAAGCUCUGAUGCGGCAGGCCUUCUCUUGACACUUGGUUAAGGUAUGCCUCUCACAUCUGUAUGCCCACAUCUGCUCUCCUCCCUCCCUCCUUCUCAGCACUUAGCCCUCUGAUAUGGUUUGCUGGCGUCCCCACCCAAAUCUCAUCUUGAAUUGUAGUUCCCAUAAAUCCCCACGUAUUGUUCGAGGUACCCCGUGGGAGAUAAUUGAAUCAUGGGGGUGGUUACCCAGAUGCUGCGGUUCUCGUGUUAGUGAGUUCUCGUGAGAUCUGAUGGUUUUAUAAGGGGCUUUUCCCCCUUUUUCUCGGCACUUCUCCUCGCUGCCGCCACAUGAAGAAGGAUGUGUUUGCUUCCCCUUCUGCCAUGAUUGGAAGUUUCCUGAGACCCCUCCAGCCAUGCUGAACUGAUUUCCUGAAGACACCAUCCCAGUCAAGUGGUCUGCCUCAUACUGAGCCACCAGACCACCCAGCAUGUCCUCACCCGCGUGGACAGAUGACAGGGGGCUCUGAGCAUGCCCCAGUGCACCUUACGCACCUGUGAAGGUUGGGAGCCUGAGUGCAGCUCCUGUGGCACUGCCCGUGGCCAGGGAGAUGCCUCCUCAGUGCUCCUGACCCUCGGUGGAGGACCGGCCAGCGUGUGUGCCGACAGUGUGUCCACACAGGUGUGCUGCGCCCAAUGGGCAAGUCGGAAACAAAGGAAAAUGCUCUCUGAAGGAAAAGGCAAAGCAAUUUGGAUUUCUGCGAGAAAAUGAGACUGCAUGUGGCACUGUAAAUACCCUUGCUGCUGAACUUCUCGCUCCCCCCAGAUACACCCUUCAUAUUGACAUGUCUAGAACCUUAAACUGAACCAAGUUGAAAAGUGAGAUUAAUUAGGGCUGAGUUAACAGUUAACACAUACAAUGAAAUAUUGAAUAAGGCUUACUGAGCAAACAAGAAUAUACAGAAGUGGAGGAGACAAAGAGGAUAUUAAAAAUGCAGACAGUGAUGAGGCAGAUAGCUGGGACAAAUAAUGAAAAAUAGUAAAGGAGAUAAGGCAGAUAUUGGAGGAGCAAAGAGUCUCUGAAAUAGAUAUCGGUAUUGAAAGAUGCUAAACACGCUUCUAAAGAGACUUUCUAGCCGACACAGGGAGCUCACUGAUGGAUGAAGUAGAAACAUUUUUAAAUGGAAUCAAACAGGGCAAAGCGGGAGAAGAAAAAGAAGUAGGUAAACCAGUAAAUUAACUUUUCUCGUGUGUGCUGUGUACUAUUUGUGAGUGAGCAAUGAACGCUGUGGCUCCCUGGAGGGGCUGUGGUGGGAAGUUUCACUGCGAUCAAGUAGAGGUGGUGCCUUUGGACCUCUUCUCCUGAACCUGCAGGGAGAGGCGCAGAAUAUUCACAAGGUGAAGAUGCAACAAUUCAAAUGAGUGUCCAGGUUUUCAGGGUGGUUGCUAAACCCCAAAAGACCGAUAGCUUCGGGCAAAAGACUGCAGAAAGAACAGCUUUACAUUUUUACGGAAGCAAUGGGAAAUAUACCCUGUAAGCCUUGAAAAAUUCCCGAAGGGAUUCCUGUUCAUUCCUGUGGAUCCUAAUGGGCCAGCAUAGACCUGUUAGUCAAAAGAGGAUUUAUCUACAUUGCACACUCAUUCAGGCAGGCAGGGAAGUCAACGCCACUUUCAGAUGUUUGUAGAGCAUGAACUCUGUCCGUUCCCACGCCCUCCAAAGGCUGUUACACAGGGAUGCCCGCUUCUGGACAGAAGUGAUUCAUGCAGGAUGAGAACCAUGACCACAGAAGAUUUUGUGCAUGUGGUUAUUUCAAUAUUUAAUUUAAGUGUAUGCAUGAGUGUUCAGGAUAAAAAUGCUUGGAGUGUACUUUAAUUCCAUUAAAAAUGUAUACAUUA
RNAcentral lists this long non-coding RNA (4481 nucleotides) under Homo sapiens (human). RNAcentral describes it as "HSALNT0406681". The record is from RNAcentral. Lineage: Eukaryota; Metazoa; Chordata; Mammalia; Primates; Hominidae.